GGGUCAGUAGGUUGGUCGUGCCACCGGUACGUACUGGUCUCACUGAUUCCUCCUUCCUGAAGAACCGUAAUGCCAUUAAUUUGGUGUUGCGGGGUAACAGGACUGUUACUUUGAAAAAAUUAGAGUGUUUAAAGCAAGCUAACGCUUGAAUACAUUAGCAUGGAAUAAUGAAAUAGGACGAUCGAUCCUAUUUUGUUGGUUUCUAGGAUUGACGUA
RNAcentral lists this ribosomal RNA (216 nucleotides) under Glomeromycotina sp. Its description in RNAcentral is "partial small subunit ribosomal RNA". The stretch from base 40 to 216 matches the Rfam family "Eukaryotic small subunit ribosomal RNA", at positions 686 to 864 of the family's 1831-position model. Lineage: Eukaryota; Fungi; Glomeromycota. The record is from RNAcentral.